GCGUGAGAAUCUGGCUUCAGGAUGGGGACAACAGUUGGAAACGACUGCUAAUACCCGAUGUGCCGAGAGGUGAAAGAUUUAUCGCCUGAAGAUGAGCUCGCGUCUGAUUAGCUAGUUGGUGGGGUAAGAGCUUACCAAGGCGACGAUCAGUAGCUGGUCUGAGAGGAUGAUCAGCCACACUGGGACUGAGACACGGCCCAGACUCCUACGGGAGGCAGCAGUGGGGAAUUUUCCGCAAUGGGCGCAAGCCUGACGGAGCAAUACCGCGUGCGGGAGGAAGGCCUGUGGGUCGUAAACCGCUUUUGACAGGGAAGAAGAACUGACGGUACCUGUCGAAUCAGCCUCGGCUAACUCCGUGCCAGCAGCCGCGGUAAUACGGAGGAGGCAAGCGUUAUCCGGAAUUAUUGGGCGUAAAGCGUCCGUAGGUGGUUUAUCAAGUCUGCUGUCAAAGCGCAGGGCUCAACUCUGUACGGGCAGUGGAAACUGAUAGACUAGAGUGUGGUAGGGGUAGAGGGAAUUCCCAGUGUAGCGGUGAAAUGCGUAGAUAUUGGGAAGAACACCGGUGGCGAAAGCGCUCUAACUGGGCCAAGGACUGACACUGAUGGACGAAAGCUAGGGGAGCGAAAGGGA
This 630-nucleotide ribosomal RNA is filed under the name uncultured Pseudanabaena sp. RNAcentral's name for it is "bacterial SSU rRNA". It matches the Rfam family "Bacterial small subunit ribosomal RNA", at positions 115 to 777 of the family's 1533-position model. The record is from RNAcentral. Lineage: Bacteria; Bacillati; Cyanobacteriota; Cyanophyceae; Pseudanabaenales; Pseudanabaenaceae.